UGAGGUAUGUGAAACACUAGAGGUCAA
RNAcentral lists this non-coding RNA (27 nucleotides) under Homo sapiens (human). Lineage: Eukaryota; Metazoa; Chordata; Mammalia; Primates; Hominidae. The record is from RNAcentral.